This is a long non-coding RNA of Microcebus murinus (gray mouse lemur), 1470 nucleotides long. RefSeq lists it as uncharacterized. The record is from RefSeq and is a predicted model, not a curated record. NCBI's taxonomy places the organism in Eukaryota, Metazoa, Chordata, Mammalia, Primates, Cheirogaleidae.
CGCAGGCGCGCCCUGUGUGCUCCGCCUGGAACGCGGGGCCCAAGCCGGGAGACCCCCGCCGGCUGCUGGGCGUGGUAGCUGGGUCCCGAGUUGCUAAGAGUCUUAGUUUUCUUUCCAUCAGAUCUCUUUAUCUCCAAUCACUAUGUUAAAAUGUUUACAGUUUCCAUCCUAAAAGUGCAAUGACGUCAGAACUCCGCUGUAACUUAAGUACCACGCAUUUUUAGUAGCUACAUGUCUCCCAAGCCCUGGAAUUUCUGUAACAAUUCUAAUUCAAUGUAGUGGCCUGUCCCUAAGAGAUAGACAAAUGGGCACCUGGCUUCCUAUAGUGUCUAGAUCACUGACUUGUCAUCUCACAACUCACUGGCACUCAAAACGAUGUGGGUGGACCUGUGAUGAUCCUUAUAGCUGCUUUAGUUUGAUGAGAUGUCCAGGGCUGUGGCAGUCAUCCUGCAACCAUGAUGUAACAAGUACAAAGAUGAGAGUCAACAUAUUUAGGAUGACGGAGAGGAGGAAUGGAAAGAACCUGAGUCACUGAUGACAUCGGCAAACUGCUAAACCUAUUCAGGGACCACCUAUCUUCAUCCUUUUUGUUCAAUAGACAAUAAAUGGCCUAUGGUUAGGUCUCUUUUAGCUGGGGUUUCAGUUGUUUGCACUAAAAGCAUGCAAUUGACACAGCAGGGAUGUGACAUAUCUGAUUUAAAUAUAUUUUAAAAAUUUCUCUGGCAACUGUAUGAAGAGAUUGUAAGGAGCAAGAAUGGAACAGAAGCAUGGAAGACUACUGCAGUAGUCCUGAGGAGGGAUCAUAGUGGCCUGGCCUAGGGAGGAAGCAGUAAAGCUGGACAGAAAUAGAUAGACUCAAGAUGUAUUGGAGGGCAAAAACCACAGGACUUGCUGUUUGUAUAAGAGGUACAGGAGAGGGGGGAAUUAAGGCUGACCUCUAGGUGUUGGACUUGGUGGUGGUGCCAUUUAUUGACAUAGAGAAGGCAGGAAGAAAAGGUUUGGGGAACAGGAUGGGAUCACGUGUACUUUUUUGGAUGUAUUAAAUUUAAGAUUUCUAUGAGCCAUUCAAAAAGAGAUGUCAAAUCAGCAGGUAGACUUAUGAGUUUGAAACACUGGGGUAAGGUUAUGGCUUGGAUUUCAAUUUGGAAAUUGCCGAUACACAGAUGUCAUUUAAUGCCACAGGAAUAGACAAGAUUUUCCCCACUUGCCAAAAUCUGAGGAAAUCUAAAAUUAGAAGUCAGCUAGAAGGGAAGGAGACUGAGGAGAAGUAGUAAGGUAGGAAAACAACAACAACAACUGCAACGACAACACUUAGCAUUUAUUUAUAUAGCACUUACUUUAUGCCAGACACUGUUAAAAGCACUUUGCGGCUUCAUGGAAGCAAAAAGAAAAGUGUUUUCCCUUAUUUCCCCCUUUGUUUUCUCCUGUGGCUUUCACCCAUAAACUCAGAAGGUUUAGAUGCAAAAGUGC